This 1469-nucleotide long non-coding RNA is filed under the name Parus major (Great Tit). RNAcentral describes it as "lncRNA (ENSPMJG00000016404.1)". Lineage: Eukaryota; Metazoa; Chordata; Aves; Passeriformes; Paridae. The record is from RNAcentral.
UGGAAAUAAAAGGCUAUGAUUAUACUUGCCUACCAUCAGACAUCUACCUCGCUACUGUUCCUGAAUUGCCAUGGAAAGCAGUGUUAUGGGAGGAUGUGAAAGAGCAACUAAAGAGGCAAUAUUUUGUACUAUGCCCUUUGUUAUUCCACACUUCCUGCACACUCCUAAACAUUUCUUACUGCUCUUGCUGCCACCUGAGUUUGGCAAUAAAGCAAGGGAACCACCGCCUCUCUGACCCCACACAAGGCCCCUGCACCACUGCAGGAUGGGAUCCAUGUGCACCAGCUCCUCACCCCGGACACUGCCUCACAGCUCCCACCCUCGCCAGGGUGCCCACAGCAGCUCUCAGCCACCUCCGCCAGGCUGCCCAGAGCAGCCCUGGGCCACAGCAGAUUUUAAACAGGCUAAUUACAGCCACUCGGGUCAGCCGAGAGCAGCCAUGUGCUUUGCCAGGGGAGAUCUCAUCUGCAAGAGCCAGCUGAGCCCAGUCCUGGCAGACACUGAGCACCACGGAUGCCCAGCAUCAAAGCUGGAGACACAUGUGGGAGAAGUUGUGCAACCACAUGCAAGGCUGCAAUUUCUGAUGGCCAUGAACACAGGUGAUGGCCUCUAACUAUCUGCCUGAUAACACCUACCUCCUUUUUAAAAGAAGGCUUUGCAACAGAUGUUCACAGAGCAUCAAUAAUUCCGAGUCCUGCUGAAAAACUCUCAAUGUUCUUGCUGUUUAACUUGAAAUCUUGGGGCCUUAUCUUCUGGAAUUCUGAAGAUAUGCAUCUGAAAUGUAAAAUUGUUGUGAACUGUGGUCUGAACAUAAGCAUGCAGACAUGACCAUGAAACUUAAAGUAUCAUUUUUCCCUGUGUUGCUUUUCCCCCCAAAUUCUGUUUGCAAAGUGAUAUUGAGACUUCAUUCUGUUCUACCAGUCAUUUGAAUGUGACAUUCCAAGAUUUAUUAGGAGCAGGUGUAAAAUAUUUUAUUUUCUUUAUCUUGUUGCUACAUCAAUAAUUUAUUCACUCUAUUAUUAUGACUAGAUAUUUGCUAAACUUGUUAACAUAUUUAGUGAUGAAAAAAGGGCUUCCUAAGAAUCACAGUGCCGCUCAAUUACAUGGCAUGGAUUUUUUUCUCAUUUUUGUUCCAGUUUUUGACCUCGCUACCUUCACUUGCAGAAUGUUGAGUCGUGUUGCCUUCUGGGUAUCUUGUGCAGCACUGUGUAGCCCAUUGCUACCUGACAGCUCACCUUUCUCACUACUAUUUAUUCAAUGAUUCUAAAGUAAAUUUUACAGCACAAACUGAUAUCAAACAUAUGACUUAUGUUUUGCCUGGUACCAUCUUUUAAAAAACCUGAUUAGUUCAAAAGACUUUCCAAGAUCCAAGGCUUGGUAAUCAGCUGAAUUUCUCUUGAGAGUCUCAUUUAAAUUACAAGAAGAGUAACAGUAUUGGGUGUCUGCAGUUGCCAUUUGUUUAGUUGGAG